GAUAGAGCUCAGUAGCACAGCACCUGCCUAGCAAGUACAAGGUCCUGGGUUCAAUUCCCAGUAUC
RNAcentral lists this transfer RNA (65 nucleotides) under Cavia porcellus (domestic guinea pig). It matches the Rfam family "tRNA". From Rfam's summary of the family: Transfer RNA (tRNA) molecules are approximately 80 nucleotides in length. Their secondary structure includes four short double-helical elements and three loops (D, anti-codon, and T loops). Lineage: Eukaryota; Metazoa; Chordata; Mammalia; Rodentia; Caviidae. The record is from Rfam by way of RNAcentral.